AGCUCACCGAUGAGUCUUAUACAGACGAAACGCGCGUCUGACAU
RNAcentral lists this non-coding RNA (44 nucleotides) under Mytilus galloprovincialis (Mediterranean mussel). Lineage: Eukaryota; Metazoa; Mollusca; Bivalvia; Mytilida; Mytilidae. The record is from RNAcentral.